AUGUUUUUCCAUUAUCAUCUUCUUCAUGCUCACACAAAACCCACUUCCUCUUCUUCAUUAAACUCCAAGCAUGAGCUGCAAGCUAUGCACAUCUCUUCUUUGCAUAUUCAUCUGCAAAAUAAAGAAGAAUGGAGUGAUUUGAGGACAUGCAUUACAUAGAAAUUUUGAGAGAAAAUUUUAGCUGGAAGAAAGGGUUCUUUGGUAAUGUGCUACUGUGAGUUUUUCUCUGUUCUACAUUGCUUCAAGCUGUUCUUGAGUUCCACAACUCGGUCUAAAGCUCCAAGAGGACAGUGGGGAAGAUCUUGAGGUGGUUCAUGGUGAUCUUUGGUGAAGACUGCUGCUGUUUGAUUAAGUUCUUGAAGAGUUUUACAAAGGGUUAGUGGUCGUGAAAAUUUCAUGUCGACAGUACAAAUGUGGUGUUGCAAGAACCCACUGAAGUGAUGAAGCUACCAAGCAAGUGAUUGAUGUUUGGUUAGUGACAAAACUUAUUGUAAUGUAGUUACUCGUGACAAUACCUUAUUGUAUUUAUUUUCUUUGUAAAAAUUUUGCC
Non-coding RNA from Benincasa hispida (wax gourd), 550 nucleotides. The record is from RefSeq and is a predicted model, not a curated record. Lineage: Eukaryota; Viridiplantae; Streptophyta; Magnoliopsida; Cucurbitales; Cucurbitaceae.